This is a long non-coding RNA of Talpa occidentalis (Iberian mole), 836 nucleotides long. RefSeq lists it as uncharacterized. Lineage: Eukaryota; Metazoa; Chordata; Mammalia; Eulipotyphla; Talpidae. The record is from RefSeq and is a predicted model, not a curated record. The transcript is spliced from 3 exons.
GGUAGGAAUGUGGGAGUGCUUCAUAAGACUCUCCAGCCCAAACUCCAAGGGGACCUUGCUGGUGCCCACUGGGAAGAUGCACACAGCCACUUAUGGGAGAUCCCACCCUAAGUCUAGAGGACUGUGACCCUGGGAACCCAGAAAAGCACAGCUGCCGCCAGGUUUCUGCAUCUCUAUCCUUUCUGGGCCUCCUUACUCACUGAGAUACAAUAAUAUUGAAAGUAUGCCAAUUGAUAACACUUUGAAUGUUCAAAUGGAAAGAAGAGUCUGUCAUCUCUUAUUUUAAAACAGAGGCUAGAAAUGAUUAAGUUUAGGAAAACAAGUUAAGAUAGACUGAAAGCUAAGUGUCUUGUGUCAAACAGGCAAAUUGUGAAUGCAAAGGAAACAUUUUUGAAGGAAAUGAAGUGUUGCUUCAAAGAACAUGCAUAUGAUAAGAGAGCAAAACAGUCCUAUUGCUGAUAUGGAGAGAGUUUCAGUGGUCUGGAUGGAAGAUCAAACAAGCCACAGCAUUCCCUUAACCAAAACAAGGCCCUAAUUCUAUUCCAUUCUAUGAAGGCUGAGAGAGGUGAGGAGCUGCAUAAGGAAACUCUGUAGCUAGAGGAGGCUGGGGCAAGAGGUCUAAGAGCAGAAGCCAUCUUCACAGUGGGAAAGUCCAAGCUGAAGCAGCAAGCGCUGAGAUAAUGGGUGCAGGUGCCUACACACACUGCAGAUCUUCAGUGUCGAGCUAACAGCCUUCUAGUGGAAGGAGAUGCCAGAGUCUCCAGGAAUGUCACACUACAGAGAAGUGCGUGACUGGCUGCAAGCUUCAAAGGACAGGCUGCCUCUCUUGUUAGGGG